Molecule: ribosomal RNA, 505 nt
Filed under: uncultured bacterium
Lineage: Bacteria
Description: partial 16S ribosomal RNA
Rfam family: Bacterial small subunit ribosomal RNA
Source: RNAcentral
GACGAACGCUGGCGGCGUGCCUAAUACAUGCAAGUCGAACGCACAGUUUAUACCGUAGCUUGCUACACCAUAGACUGUGAGUUGCGAACGGGUGAGUAACGCGUAGGUAACCUGCCUGGUAGCGGGGGAUAACUAUUGGAAACGAUAGCUAAUACCGCAUAAUAUUAAUUAUUGCAUGAUAAUUAAUUGAAAGGUGCAAUUGCACCACUACCAGAUGGACCUGCGUUGUAUUAGCUAGUAGGUGAGGUAACGGCUCACCUAGGCGACGAUACAUAGCCGACCUGAGAGGGUGAUCGGCCACACUGGGACUGAGACACGGCCCAGACUCCUACGGGAGGCAGCAGUAGGGAAUCUUCGGCAAUGGACGAAAGUCUGACCGAGCAACGCCGCGUGAGCGAAGAAGGUUUUCGGAUCGUAAAGCUCUGUUGUAAGAGAAGAACGGGUGUGAGAGUGGAAAGUUCACACUGUGACGGUAUCUUACCAGAAAGGGACGGCUAACUACGUG